AUUGUAGGUUUUGUUUUGGUUUGGAAGGUCAGGGUAUCACUGUCUAGCCUAUGCUAGCCUGUGACUCUCAGUUCUCCUUGCCUUAAUGUCCCCAGUGAUGAAAGAUUCGUGUUACCACAUUCAGAAGAACUUUUGCCUGAAUGGAUCUAUGUGGAUAUUUGUUCCGGGAGAACUGCUAGAUCCCUUGCAAACUGACUUAGCUCAGAGGUUGAUAUGGAGGUGCUUUGCUUCAAUUCUGUAUACCGAACUCCGGCCUCAUAUGUGCCGUUCCAGCAAACUUAAUCACAAUGAGGCAAACCUUGGAAAACUCCAAGCACACCUGGGCUGGCUUUAGCUGUGAGGCAACCUGGCUUCCAGGCUUCGUUGCCCGAGCAUGCUGCGCCGCCCAGGAACGCGUGGGACACAGGGCUGUGUGUCGGAGUGUUGGCACAACCACCCAGCAGCAACUCUCCCCAGUUCCAUGCCACUGGUAUUGAACUCUCUGUGUCAACUGAGAUGACACGUGUACCAACCCGGGAGGCUGAGCGCAGGGAAAGCGAAUCUACUGCAGGAGAGGCGCCACCCCCUUCCGGCCACCUAAAAGAAGGGACCUGACCUCAAGGAACCAGUUGCCCUGCACUGCGGAGAAAGAGAGUGCUGGAAAAAUGAUCACAAAACUGCCGAGAUGGCUUUUUGUGCCGAGCUGCCGGUUUCACGUGGAAAUUUUUCCACAGCUGCGGCCAUUUGUCUGAAUCAACAGCAGCCCUGUUUUGUUUUGUUUGAGGCUUUGACAAAUCCCGGAAUCCUGCGCUCUACUCUCCCGUGGGAAGAAAAGAGGAUGGGAUCUAUAGAUGCUGCAUCCUGUAUUUGGAUAUUUUCCCUAGAUUUCUCCUGAGCUGGAAAGAGGAAGUCUUGGCUCUGGGACUAAGAGCCAAGAGCAGGGUUUGGCCUUGAGGACUGUCAUAGCCCUGGCUUGGCUGCAGGGACUAUGUGGAAACCUGGAUCUGGUCCGCACCCCCGUGCCCAGGCUGCUCUCCCAGUUUCCACAGCUGCUUAUCCCAGCUGUUGCUGAACUGGCUUCACCUACCACCCUCACACUUGCCCAGAGGACUUUUUACUGGGGAAGGCAGGGUCCUGAGUCAGGAAGAGAAAUAUACAGUUCCCUCUCCUCCAGGGCUAAUAGAAGGGUACAAAACAGAAUCAGUUCAGAAAGAACAACAGAGGAC
Molecule: long non-coding RNA, 1205 nt
Filed under: Meriones unguiculatus (Mongolian gerbil)
Lineage: Eukaryota; Metazoa; Chordata; Mammalia; Rodentia; Muridae
Description: lncRNA (ENSMUGG00000002034.1)
Source: RNAcentral